UAGGGAAUCUUCCGCAAUGGACGAAAGUCUGACGGAGCAACGCCGCGUGAGUGAAGAAGGAUUUCGGUUCGUAAAACUCUGUUGUUAGGGAAGAAAAAAUGUAUAGUAACUAUAUACAAAAGAGACGGUACCUAACCAGAAAGCCACGGCUAACUACGUGCCAGCAGCCGCGGUAAUACGUAGGUGGCAAGCGUUGUCCGGAAUUAUUGGGCGUAAAGCGCGCGCAGGUGGUUUAGAAAGUCUGAUGUGAAAGCCCACGGCUCAACCGUGGAGGGUCAUUUGAAACUAAUAAACUUGAGUGCAGGAGAGAAAAGGGGAAUUCCUAGUGUAGCGGUGAAAUGCGUAGAGAUUAGGAGGAACACCGGUGGCGAAAGCGGCUUUUUGGCCUGCAACUGACACUGAGGCGCGAAAGCGUGGGGAGCAAACAGG
Molecule: ribosomal RNA, 429 nt
Filed under: Verrucomicrobiota bacterium
Lineage: Bacteria; Pseudomonadati; Verrucomicrobiota
Description: Verrucomicrobia bacterium partial 16S ribosomal RNA
Rfam family: Bacterial small subunit ribosomal RNA
Source: RNAcentral